RNAcentral lists this ribosomal RNA (399 nucleotides) under uncultured bacterium. RNAcentral describes it as "bacterial SSU rRNA". It matches the Rfam family "Bacterial small subunit ribosomal RNA", at positions 29 to 429 of the family's 1533-position model. The record is from RNAcentral.
AUUAAACGCUGGCGGCAUGCCUUACACAUGCAAGUCGAACGGCAGCACGGGGGCAACCCUGGUGGCGAGUGGCGGACGGGUGAGUAAAGCAUCGGAACGUAUCCUGGAGUGGGGGAUAACGUAGCGAAAGUUACGCUAAUACCGCAUAUUCUGUGAGCAGGAAAGCAGGGGAUCGCAAGACCUUGCGCUCUGGGAGCGGCCGAUGUCGGAUUAGCUAGUUGGUGGGGUAAAGGCCUACCAAGGCGACGAUCCGUAGCGGGUCUGAGAGGAUGAUCCGCCACACUGGGACUGAGACACGGCCCAGACUCCUACGGGAGGCAGCAGUGGGGAAUUUUGGACAAUGGGCGGAAGCCUGAUCCAGCCAUGCCGCGUGAGUGAAGAAGGCCUUCGGGUUGUAAA